AAAAUAUCCGUGGACUGGAUUGGAUCUGGAUAGUUGAUAUACUGUAUCUAUACCCUAAAACGAAAUAGGUAAAAAAAUAUAGAGGCAAUUGCUUAUAUAUUCCUGAAAAGUUUCAGAUUUUUUGAUUUACCCCUCAUAGAAGGCUAAUAUUGAAAAUACCUUUUUUUACGUUCCAACUUAUUUUUAAUAUACCCCUAAAGUUAAAUUCUGUUAGCUAUAGCUGUUAUUUCUAUGAAAUUACUAUUUUGCCCUUUUCAAAUGUAUCAUUCUACCAUCACCAACUUUUUCUUAUUUGCCCUUAAGUUAGAGGCACAAAAAGUAUUUUAAUUUUUUGUCUUUUCAAAUAUACUCUUCUAACAUCACCAAUAUUUCUUAUUUGCCCUUAAGUUAAGGGCAAAAGAGAUAUUUUGAUUUUUAUUAACUCUGGUAGAUAUUUAACUCACGUUUAAUCGAAGUUAAUUUAACGGGUGGUAACAGUAUGAGUAUUUUGGAAUAACAGAGAAACAUAUGAAGGGUAUAUUGGAAAGAAAAAAAAAGUAGGGAUAAAUGUGAUAUUUUCAAAGGUUUGAGGGGUAUAUAAACAAUUAUCCCAAAAAUUAUAUAGAUACCCUAUUCAUUUAACUUUUGAUCGGUCCAGAUCUGAGUAUUUAAGUUAAUAAUAUACCUAUUGGUCUAUUUGAGCGGGUCUGAAUAGUGACUACCUAUAUACUACUGAUUUAAGAUCGGGUAUGGAUCGGAUAUUCGUCGGGUCUAGAUAGGAUACGAAUACCCUUAUGCAUAUAUUUUUUAUAAACUUUAUUAAACAAUCUAUGGACAAAUCAUAAAUUUUUUACUAUAAAAACUCGCGUUCUAAUUAGUUGCAUCCCGUCCAAAAAAAAU
Molecule: long non-coding RNA, 879 nt
Filed under: Ananas comosus (pineapple)
Lineage: Eukaryota; Viridiplantae; Streptophyta; Magnoliopsida; Poales; Bromeliaceae
Description: long non-coding RNA (ACOM_LNC016293)
Source: RNAcentral